Molecule: ribosomal RNA, 403 nt
Filed under: uncultured bacterium
Lineage: Bacteria
Description: partial 16S ribosomal RNA
Rfam family: Bacterial small subunit ribosomal RNA
Source: RNAcentral
GACGAACGCUGGCGGCGUGCCUAAUACAUGCAAGUCGAACGCAGUGGGGACGGGUGAGUAACACGUGGGUAACCUCCCAUCAGAGGGGAUAACACUUGGAAAAAGGUGCUAAAACGAUACUGAUGGAUGGACCCGCGGUGCAUUAGCUAGUUGGUGAGGUAACGGCUAACCAAGGCCAAGAUGCAUAGCCGGCCGGAUAGGGGGAUCGGCCACAUGGGGACUGAGACACGGCCCAGACUCCUACGGGAGGCAGCAGUAGGGAAUCUUCGGCAAUGGACGAAAGUCUGACCGAGAAACGCGGCUUGAGUGAAGAAGGUUUUCGGAUCGUAAACCUCUGUUGUUAGAGAAGCGGUAUCUAACCAGAAAGCCACGGCUAACUACGUGCCAGCAGCCGCGGUAAUAC